GACGAACGCUGGCGGCGCGCUUAACACAUGCAAGUCGAACGGAAAGGCCUGCUUUCCCUUGUGGAUUGCGGGUACUCGAGUGGCGAACGGGUGAGUAACACGUGAGUGAUCUGCCCCCAACUUGGGUAUAAGCCUGGGAAACUGGGUCUAAUUCCCGAUAGGACUGCAGGGUGGUGCCUGUGGUGGAAAACGAUUUUCUAGUGGUUGGGGAUGAGCUCGCGGCCUAUCAGCUUGUUGGUGGGGUAAUGGCCUACCAAGGCGGCGACGGGUAGCCGGCCUGAGAGGGUGGACGGCGACAUUGGGACGGGGAUACGGCCCAGACUCCUACGGGAGGCAGCAGUGGGGAAUAUUGCACAAUGGGCGGAAGCCUGAUGCAGCGACGCCGCGUGGGGGAUGACGGCCUUCGGGUUGUAAACUCCUUUCGACCGCGAGGAAGCCACCUGGUUGGAAGGGUGGUGACGGUAGUGGUAGAAGAAGCACCGGCUAACUACGUG
RNAcentral lists this ribosomal RNA (494 nucleotides) under uncultured bacterium. Its description in RNAcentral is "partial 16S ribosomal RNA". It matches the Rfam family "Bacterial small subunit ribosomal RNA", at positions 28 to 507 of the family's 1533-position model. The record is from RNAcentral.